RNAcentral lists this signal recognition particle RNA (301 nucleotides) under Ipomoea nil (Japanese morning glory). Its description in RNAcentral is "Plant signal recognition particle RNA". It matches the Rfam family "Plant signal recognition particle RNA". Lineage: Eukaryota; Viridiplantae; Streptophyta; Magnoliopsida; Solanales; Convolvulaceae. The record is from Rfam by way of RNAcentral.
GCUGGGCUUGGUAGCGCGAGCCUGUAACCCAAGCGGGAGCAUUAAGAUGGUGGAAUAGUUUGGCUUGCCUUGAAGGUUGGGCUAGGGUUGCUAUCUACUGUCCUGCCCGUUCCAAGUGGUGAGUUGUACUGUGGAGUCUCUCCGAAAGCGGAGGCUUCACUGUCCUUAGAUCGGAGGGCACCACGUGAGGCUGGCUUCACAGAGCAGCGAUAACCUCCUCCUCACUGUGGUGGAAGGAUAACUGGCCGGUGCAACCUCAGUCCAUAAGCGCAUCCGUAUGACGUAUACUGGAGUCAUUUUC